CUACCGGAUAAAAUAUUGGGUUCGAUAUUCUGAGAGAGCGAGGUGAAUCGGUUCUUCGGGCCAACAACAAUGUGGAUACUCUUUUCCGCCCGUUGUCGGAGGUAUUGGAUGUCGGGGAUUGGAUAUUUGCCGGGAUCGAUCUGGAAAUCAGUUGGUGAAGAGCGAAAUGGAAGCGCAAACGGCGCGGCUAACGAACGAGGCGAAGAGAGUGCGUGGGGGCGUAGGAACGGUCCCCCUCGUCACGACUUCCUGCCAAUUGCGGACAAUUUGCGAUCAUCUAUGAUCUCCCCCCUCGUCGCUCCGUCGACGAAACAUGGUGUGGACGGUGCUUAAGAGUUAACGCGGCACGAUUCUUUUUUUCUCUCCCUCCACUCUUUCCCUCUUUCCUAAUUCGCUCUUUCUCGCUUUACACGAGACACCGUGCCAUCGGCGACGGCCAAGCGUUAACGCGUCCUACGCGGCUCACUUCCCACGUGACGUAACCGAGGAAAGGAACGACGAGCGUUGAACGUCGCGUUUCGAAUACGUACGCCUAUCAUCAUCCCUAUCUCCGCUCGUGCGUGCAAUUUGUGCAACGAGGCUGAUGCUCGAAACGCCCGUUUUUUCCUUCC
Long non-coding RNA from Apis florea (little honeybee), 611 nucleotides. Lineage: Eukaryota; Metazoa; Arthropoda; Insecta; Hymenoptera; Apidae. The record is from RefSeq and is a predicted model, not a curated record.